Molecule: ribosomal RNA, 383 nt
Filed under: uncultured bacterium
Lineage: Bacteria
Description: bacterial SSU rRNA
Rfam family: Bacterial small subunit ribosomal RNA
Source: RNAcentral
GAUUAACGCUGGCGGCGUGCCUAACACAUGCAAGUCGAACGAGGUAGCAAUACCUAGUGGCAGACGGGUGAGUAACGCGUGGUCAACCUACCGUUGAGUGGGGGAUAACUAGCCGAAAGGUUAGCUAAUACCGCAUACGUCUCCGAGUGGCAUCACUUGGCGAUAAAAGGAGCAAUCCGCUCGAUGACGGGACCGCGUCCCAUUAGCUAGAUGGUGGGGUAACGGCCUACCAUGGCACCGAUGGGUAGCUGGUUUGAGAGAGCGACCAGCCACACUGGGACUGAGAAACGGCCCAGACUCCUACGGGAGGCAGCAGUGAGGAAUUUUCCGCAAUGGCGCAAGCCUGACGGAGCGACGCCGCGUGUGGGAAGAAGGCCUCGGUC